RNAcentral lists this ribosomal RNA (468 nucleotides) under uncultured bacterium. Its description in RNAcentral is "partial 16S ribosomal RNA". It matches the Rfam family "Bacterial small subunit ribosomal RNA", at positions 28 to 507 of the family's 1533-position model. The record is from RNAcentral.
GACGAACGCUGGCGGCGUGCUUAACACAUGCAAGUCGAACGGAAAGGCCCUGCUUUUGUGGGGUGCUCGAGUGGCGAACGGGUGAGUAACACGUGAGUAACCUGCCCUUGACUUUGGGAUAACUUCAGGAAACUGGGGCUAAUACCGGAUAGGAGCUCGUGCUGCAUGGUGGGGGUUGGAAAGUUUCGGCGGUUGGGGAUGGACUCGCGGCUUAUCAGCUUGUUGGUGGGGUAGUGGCUUACCAAGGCUUUGACGGGUAGCCGGCCUGAGAGGGUGACCGGCCACAUUGGGACUGAGAUACGGCCCAGACUCCUACGGGAGGCAGCAGUGGGGAAUAUUGCACAAUGGGCGGAAGCCUGAUGCAGCAACGCCGCGUGCGGGAUGACGGCCUUCGGGUUGUAAACCGCUUUCGCCUGUGACGAAGCGUGAGUGUCGGUAAUGGGUAAAGAAGCACCGGCUAACUACGUG